GUGUGAGGCCUGAACUGUGCAGUGUCCACACUGGGAGGAUGUGAAACCAGACUUUUGGGCAGAGGCAAGUCGAGGCUGGCUGGCAGAUGCAUGGGGAGGGGAGGCUGGCAGGUACAGGAGUGGUCACCCAUUCAGCUGGAGCUGCAAGGUCACCAAGUGACUUGUCCUUUGGGUGUGUACCUGGGGCAGAGCAUCACCAAGUGUCUUUACACACCCACACCACUCCCCAGCUUGCAACAGGAGGGCCAGGGGCAAACACCUGUAGCAGGAACUAGGCAAAGGACCGCUUUCUCCUGCAGUGUCCCUCCUGCACCUUCUACUGACAACUGGUAAUAUUGUGCUCACUUAAAGGAGAAACAAAGAACCCAGUCCAUUAUCCCACAGCAGGUAUGGAACGGUGAAUUUGGAGCUGAGAGUCUUGAUAACUGGCACACCAUGUGUUUUGGCCAACAGGAUGUGGGUAGACAUGAUGCAAGCAGCGCCCCGAGAUCUACUUGCAAGGUUGGGUUUGCCCUCUGGCACUUCCGCCCUUACCCUGAGCCAGGCUUUCCCUGUAAGCUUCUCUCCUUCCGCCGGGCCCCUGAAUGAGCACAAGACCCAACCCUGAGCCCAGCUCACUGAGAGGCCAAGGCCAGCUGGCCCAGAGCUUGAAGCCCACUCACCCAGCCCAGCCCAGCCUAGACCAGCUGAUUCCUGCAAACCCAUGGAGGCGACAGUAGAUGCUUAUUGUUGUGUGUUACUGGUUGGGGGCGGCUUGUUAUGCAACAUUUUUCUGAAUAAGACCAGCCAGUACUGAAAUCAGUGUCUCGAAAGAGGCUCUGGCUGUACCCAACGGUAGAAGGGCAGAUGGUGGUUUCUUCUGCAUACUCGUAUCUGCUUCCUGUCUUGUCCAGUCUGUGAAAGUAGAUGUUUAUUGCAGUAAGUCUACUGCAAGUGGUCCACUGCUGCAAGUCUGCAGUGUCCUGUCACUGGAUUCGGGCUGCGAGAGGGGUGGAUAACUCAGAUCAUGGUGUACAUGUGUAGCUGCUUCAAUCAUAGCUUUCCCGGUGCCUCACUUGGACCUAAUGUAGAUCCUGAACUUGUCUGAUUGAAUGAGGCUUUGAGGACUUGGGAUAAAGCUGAGUAUAUUUUGCAUGUGGUAGAGCUGUAAAUAAUUAUGACCAAGAGGGCAGAUCAUGGUAGAUUAAACUUUUCCCCCGCCUUGUUCACUUAUUCUGUCUUGUGCCCUUUGCCACAAGGCUUUUCAGAUCCUCCCAUUAGAAGGAGGUAUGUUUCCCUGCCCUUGCUUUAGGGCUUAGUCCUGUGACUCGUUCUGACUGAUGGGAUGGUAGCACAUGUGAUACAAGCAGAGGCUUGUGAUCUGCUUGCGUCGUCAGACUUGACUUUUUGCAUUUUUGCCAUUUCCAAGAGAAAGCUUCCCCUGCUAGCUACUACU
This 1435-nucleotide long non-coding RNA is filed under the name Capra hircus (goat). RNAcentral describes it as "lncRNA (ENSCHIG00010012008.1)". Lineage: Eukaryota; Metazoa; Chordata; Mammalia; Artiodactyla; Bovidae. The record is from RNAcentral.